CUGGAGGCAUUCAUUGUCACACUUUCCAAGCCUAACAAACCCCCCACUAACUGCGCCAACCUAUGACCAUUUUCCUUACUUAAUUCGGACGUCAAACUAUAUGCCAAAAUGUUAGCAACAAGGGUCAAAACACUCUUUCCCACGCUCAUCUCCCCCGAACAAGCGGGAUUUGUACCUGGGAAACAGGUAGGGGACAACACCCGCCACUUCCUAAACCUUAUCGACUAG
This is a non-coding RNA of Pelobates cultripes (western spadefoot toad), 228 nucleotides long. The record is from the annotation of a GenBank genome assembly. Lineage: Eukaryota; Metazoa; Chordata; Amphibia; Anura; Pelobatidae.